GGAGAGAUGUCCGAGCGGCUGAAGGAGCACGACUGGAAAUCGUGUGUGCUGGCUAAAACUGGCACCGAGGGUUCAAAUCCCUCUCUCUCCGCCA
RNAcentral lists this transfer RNA (94 nucleotides) under Syntrophorhabdaceae bacterium PtaU1.Bin034. Its description in RNAcentral is "tRNA-Ser". It matches the Rfam family "tRNA". From Rfam's summary of the family: Transfer RNA (tRNA) molecules are approximately 80 nucleotides in length. Their secondary structure includes four short double-helical elements and three loops (D, anti-codon, and T loops). Further hydrogen bonds mediate the characteristic L-shaped molecular structure. tRNAs have two regions of fundamental functional importance: the anti-codon, which is responsible for specific mRNA codon recognition, and the 3' end, to which the tRNAs corresponding amino acid is attached (by aminoacyl-tRNA synthetases). tRNAs cope with the degeneracy of the genetic code in two manners: having more than one tRNA (with a specific anti-codon) for a particular amino acid; and 'wobble' base-pairing, i.e. permitting non-standard base-pairing at the 3rd anti-codon position. The record is from RNAcentral. RNAcentral also lists the same sequence under 2 other names. Lineage: Bacteria; Pseudomonadati; Thermodesulfobacteriota; Syntrophorhabdia; Syntrophorhabdales; Syntrophorhabdaceae.